Long non-coding RNA from Canis lupus familiaris (dog), 1788 nucleotides. RefSeq lists it as uncharacterized. Lineage: Eukaryota; Metazoa; Chordata; Mammalia; Carnivora; Canidae. The record is from RefSeq and is a predicted model, not a curated record. The transcript is spliced from 6 exons.
CUUAAAUUUGAUUUUAAUUUACUUACUCGAUUAUCACCAACUAUUCUUUGGAGGUGUUUGCCCUUGAAAGGGCUUGUGUCUGCUCAUCACGCUAUACCAGUGGUUCUUGUCGUGUGAUCCCAAGACCAGCAGUAUCAGUAUCACCUGGAAACUUGCCUGGAGAUGCAAGUUCUCAGGUUCCAACCAAGACCUACUGACUCAGAAACUAAAAGGAAACUAAGGCUGCCAGAGGCCAACAGCACAGCUGUUCAGUGACAAAGCUGAGACCUGAUGUCUAGAAUUCUCGGCAAGCCGGAAACCAUCAGCGAUGGGAUCAUCAUUAACUCCCAACCACAAAACAAGAGUCAAUGGCUUCGUUACAAAAGAGUUUCAAAUACAUCCCCACCUGACCCCCAUGGCCAUGAACUUCACGAGGAGCUCCUGCAAUUCUGUGCUGGCAGGGCUUCAUGUAGAGCCAACCUCAGAACGCCCUGCUUAGUGACGCAAGUUAUCAUCAGUUGCCAUUCCCAGCCUGCAUUCCAGCAGUUUGUCCGCAAAGAGCAACCCUAAACUCCAGACCAAAUAACCCCAGGACUACGUGGCUGUAGAACGUGAACAAAAGCAGACAGGUUUUGGAGGAAAGUCAGAAUGUAGAGGCAGCAGUCAACAAGGGAACCCAAAUCAGAAACCGUGGCCAAACUCUGUAUGAGACCUGUAGCUCCUAAUCUGGUGAUUACGAAGUGGGAGACAGUUCAAAAAAGGUUUCUUUCAUUAUGUCCUGAUGGCUCCCCAAGAGAAACUGAAGCCAAAAGGGAGAAAGCAUUAAAUUAAUUAAGAACUGAUGCCAUGAGACACACAAGGGAUUGACUUAAAGAUAUGUAUCGGUUGAAUUCUAGGCUUGUAUAAUAGACCAAACUGUAGAGACGGUAUUCCUUCUUCGAGGAGGAACGUUUUUUUGUGAGUGAAAACUCACAGUUGGUGAGUCGAAAAGGCGCUUAGAAGCAGCCCCUGCCUGCAGGCAGCUUCCACUCCAGAGGAGGAGCAAAGACCUGUUUCCAUGGAACAAUCGAACACGUAGCACGGGCCACAGCAGGGAUGUAGCACCAAGUCAGGCGUGUUCAGAUGCACUGACCGAGCUGUAGGGGAAGAGGAUGGGGCCAAGGCCUCAAAUCAUCUGCCCAGGAGCGGGGGUUGCCAAUGCAGCAUCUUUGAAGGUUUGGGAAUGGAGUGCAGACAUGGGGAAGGACUGGAUUUAAGAUGAGACCUUGGAAUCCCAGUUGAUGAGAAGCCAAGGAUGAAGGUGGAAGAUGGAGGAUGGUAGAGAAAGAGGAAGACAGAAAAGUCUGGAAGCAGAAGACCCUGGAGGAGGAGAGAAGGGAGAGGGCGUAAGUGGAGUGGGGUUCAUGGCACCACUGUUCACAACAGCCAAGAGGGGAAGCAACCCAAGUGUGCCUCGGUGGAUGAACAGAUGAACAAGAGGCUGAAAAUCACCCAUCAGCUGGCACAAUGAAGCACCGUGAAGUUGAAAAAUGCUUUGUGCGAUGCUAAUAAUAUUUUGGCAGUGACAGUGUUGAAGAUCUAUCACAGCUAUUCUUUUCAGAAAAAGUAAUAGCUCCUCUGAGGAAAAAUUAUAUUCUCAAAAUUAGAAGGCUCUUAUAAAAUAAAUCAUGAUUAAAGAAGCUACCUUUCAAUUAGACCACGUAUUCCGUGUCUAUGAAUGUGCAAGGCGUGGGGUUUGGCACCGACGGGGGACGGAGAAAUGAAGAGUAAUGGAAUGGAAGAGUCGCGGCCCUCGGGCCAGCCGCAGUC